GAGAUUAAGCCAUCGCGGCAGGUGCUCACGUUAAGCCCACUGACUUUCAUGUCCCUAUCUACUAUCUAGCGAAACCACAGCCAAGGGAACGGACUUGGAAUAAUGAGCGGGGAAAGAAGACCCUUUUGAGCUUGACUCUAAUCUGGCAGUGUAAGGAGACAUAAGAGGUGCAGAAUAAGUGGGAGAUAUUAGACUUCGGUUUGGUAUCGACAAUGAAAUACCACUACUCUUAUUGUUUCCUCACUUACUUGAUUAAAUGGAACGUGUAUCAUUUCCUAGCCAUUAUACGGAUAUAAUUAUUAUGUCUUAUGGUAUUGGGUUUUGAUGCAAGCUUCUUGAUCAAAGUAUCACGAGUUUGUUAUAUAAUCGUAAACAAAUUCUUUAAUGAGAGAAUGCAUUUAUGUAUUAUUGACUUAAAAAUUUGGUAUAACUCCAAUUACUCAGGUAUGAUCCAAUUCAAGGACAUUGCCAGGUAGGGAGUUUGACUGGGGCGGUACAUCUCUCAAAUAAUAACGGAGGUGUCCCAAGGCCAGCUCAGUGCGGACAGAAACCACACAUAGGGCAAAUGCUGACUUGAUCUCGGUGUUCAGUACACACAGGGACAGAAAAAGCUCGGCCUAUCGAUCCUUUUGGUUUAAAGAGCUUUUAACAAGAGGUGUCAGAAAAGUUACCAUAGGGAUAACUGGCUUGUGGCGGCCAAGCGUUCAUAGCGACGUCGCUUUUUGAUCCUUCGAUGUCGGCUCUUCCUAUCAUUGUAAAGCAAAAUUCACCAAGCGUUGGAUUGUUCACCCAUGCAAGGGAACGUGAGCUGGGUUUAGACCGUCGUGAGACGGUUUUACCCUACUAAUGACAAAACGUUGUUGCGACAGAAUUCCUGCGUAGUACGAGAGGAACCGCAGGUACGGACCAAUGGCACAAUACUUGUUCGAGCGAACAGUGGUAUGACGCUACGUCCGUUGGACUAUGCCUGAACGCCUCUAAGGUCGUAUCCGUGCUGGACUGCAAUGAUAAAUAAGGGGCAAUUUGCAUUGUAUGGCUUCUAAACCAUUAAAAGUUUUUAAUUUGUUUUAUUUACGACAAUGGAUGUGAUGCCAAUGUUAUUUAUAACAUAGUAAAUUGGGAGGAUCUUCGAUCACCUGAUGCGGCGCUAGUUAUAUUUUAAAACAUUAUUUAAUACAAUGUCAAAGCCUAGAAUCAAUUGUAAACGACUUUUGUGACAGGCAAGGUGUUGUUAGUGGUUGAGCAGCUGCCAUACUGCGAUCCACUGAAGCUUAUCCUUUGCUUGAUGAUUC
Molecule: non-coding RNA, 1292 nt
Organism: Drosophila virilis
Lineage: Eukaryota; Metazoa; Arthropoda; Insecta; Diptera; Drosophilidae
Source: Rfam